GGCUGGAGCUGGCCAGGGGAAAGGGAGAUUGCGCGAAGAUGGGAAGACACGGGGGCCAGGAAAAACCAUCCUUCAUGAGCUUGACAGCCCUGGGAGCCGACACAGGGGCUUACUGAACGGGACUAAAGGUUGAAGCCGGGGCUUCACAUGGGCUGAGGGACCCCUCCUCAUGGGUCAGAUGAAAGCCUCAUUUGGGGCCUAUCCAAGGCAGUGCAUAAGCCAGAAGCUGACCCACUGAUAAGUUGUUUUCUUUGAGACAGGUUCUCACAUAUCCCAAGCUGGCCUGGAACUCACCAUGUACCCCAGGAUAGCCUUGGACUCUUCAUUCCCCUGCUACCACCUCCAGUGUGCCAGGGUUAUAGUCAGAUACAACUGUCCUGGUUUAUGUGGUGCUGGGCAUUGAACCCAGGGCUCUUAAAUGCUAGGCAGGCUCUCUACUGACUGAGCCACACCCUCAACCCACCUUCCUUCCAUUGGCAGUUUGUUCCCAGGGCCUUGACCUUGGCUACAGCAAGUCUACUUCCCUAUACACACCUUGGUUCUUCAUUUCUGUCCAUCUCUCUGGGAUCAGAAAGCGGGAUCAUGUCUCUAAGACAGUGAAAAGGGAGAGGAAGUUGCAGCAGGCAGCUAGGCUCAAGCAGAUGCAGACUCAAAGCUCGGUGCAUUCACUUUCAUCCUGGGUGGACCCUCCCUGAGCCUCCAUCCCGACCGGAGUAUAAAGAUGGCCACGGCCCCAGAAGAACUGCCAGUGACGGGACGCUAACCUCGGUACUGUCUGAGAACAACUGUCUGAGAAUGGCCUGUGCUGUGACUGACCGUCGUAUUAGCCGACAACAGUAUCCGCGUAAGAACCCUCCAGCAUGCAAAUGACAGAAACCCUCAGACCGUCUGAAGCGUCAAAGACAGUUGAUUGGCUGCAUCUAAGGCGUUUCUGCAUGCGUGUGCGUGUGUGCGUGCGUGUGUGUGUGCAUGUGUGUGAACGUGGAGGCCAGAGGUUGUCAACGUCAGGUGUCUUCCUUGAUCACCUUAGUUUUGAGAUGGAUCUCUCGAUGAACCUGGAGGCCAGCCAUCAGCUAGACUGGCUGGCUAGUGAACUUCAUGGGCCUUCCUGUCUAGACUCCCUCAGUCCUAGGUUUGCACACUGCCAUUGUGACAGCUGUCUUGUUUUUAUUUCUUUCCUUCCCUCCUUCCCUCCUUCCCUCCUUCCUUCCUACCUCCCUCCUUUGUCCCUCCCUCCCCCUCCCUCCCUUCUUCCUUCCUUCACCCCUCCCUCCUUCCUUCACCCCUCCCUCCCUCCUUCCUCUCUCCCUCCUUCCUUCCUUGUUUGUUGUGUUGGGGAUGGGAACUCAAGUCUCCACCUUACACAGCACACACAUUACAGACUUGAGCUACCCCCCCCCCCAGCUCUCAAACACUCUUUUAAGCAAUACUGUCUCUCAGGGUGGGUAAAGCUUGGGAUUUCCUCCUUCGAAGCAGUCAGCUGGCAUUUGAGGGCGUGCCAUGCAAAAUUAAUUUGCAGGCUCAAGUUGGGUAUGCAGGGACCAAGAAGGCUUUGGGAGGCCACACCCCACCUGAGGACAAUGUGUACCACACUUACCUGGGCGUCAGGUGGAUGGUUGUUUUCUCUCUACCCCUGCUAUUUCUGUUAUUUGCCCCUCUGCCACCCCCUACCUUAGCUUAUAUUCUGUUUUAUGUGUAUGAUACUUAUAUGUCUGCAUGCCUGGUGCCUGUGGAAGCCAGGAGAAGCCAUUGGAUCCCCUGGAACUGGUGUUACCAAUAACGGUGAGCCAUCCUUUGGGUGCUGAGAAAGCCCAGGAUCUCUGGAAGCAGCAGCCAGUGCUUUUAACCACUGAACCAUCUCUCCUGCCACGUGUAUUCUCUGCUUGUCUUUAGUUUUACUUGGGAAGCAUCCUUUUAGGUCUUCGUUCUUCCAGAUUCGAGUGUCUGAAUCCCCCAAUGCUGAUCGCUUGUGACAUGUGCUGUGGGCUUGGCCAGCCCCACAGCUGGCGGCAAGCAGCCCAUGAGUCUUUCAGCUGUGACAGCCCUGCUAAGAGGUGAGGUCAGAGGAGCAGGUCCCAGCCACCUGCACCCCAAGUCCUGCAGUCUCUGGGGUCCGGUCAGCCUGGUGCCCACUGGGCUGGUCCUCUCUUCGUGACUGUGGCUGGUAGCCUGGGAAGGAAGAGAGUGGGGUAAACCACUCACCCCCACGGCUGCCUUCCGAGGCCAGCCAGCUCGCUGGGCCAUUAACCAGGCAAGCCACAGCAGCAAUAAAAUUAAUUUCCUUUCCUAAUAUAUACAAGACUUUCUUCAGGAGACUUAUGGAGCGAUUUGAUCAAAGUGCGUAACUGGUAUUCUUGUGCUAUCACUUUCAGCCCCUUAAUGCCCUCCUGUCAAAACAAAAUCCUGAAGAAAGGCUUUGAGUGGAGUCACAUGGACAUAAUGGGUUUCUAAAAGAGAGUCCUAAGCACUCGCUAACAUAUACAGAGCCGACUAUUAGAUGGCGGGUGCAUUGUCCUUAUAUUUUAAUGUAAACAUACUUAUAUUAGGCGGGCGCUUCAUCCCUCUGCAGAUGCAGAGGGGCAGGGUGGGUGGGGGAGGGGGAUGGCUUCAGUGGGACUGCCAACCAGGGGAGAGUCCACUAAGCAGAGACGUGGAGGGAAGGUCAGAGUCGUGAAGGGAGGAGGGAAGCAGAGGAGACCUAUCUGGAUAUUCUUAAUGACACAGAUGCCUGGCUCCUGGGUGACACUUUGAACUUUUUUUUUUUUUUUCUUUUUCCAAGGAGUUUCCCACCUCGCCUGCUCUGCCCUGCAGACAACCUCUGUGAGUCCCUCUGUGACUGGGAAGGAGAGGGGACCCAUUUACUUGGGUGGGUAAACUGAGGAUCAGAGGAGGCUUCCACAUCCUGGCAGGGACCAGAUGCACAGGUCAGCCCUGGCGCACUGUAUGUGAGGAAGCAGCCAUUCUAGAACUCAGCUGCCCUCUGGGCGCCUAAUGAAGACGCUAAACCUGAAGCUGGCUGCAGAUUCAAGCUCCUGUUCAGAUAUAACAAACCCACUGGAAUAGAAGGAUUAGGUCUCCCUUCACCAGAGCCAACAUGGUUGAGAUGGAGAGUUGAAAUGCAAAGGAAGAUGUAUAACAGCCCCCGAGAGCAGCCGCACCACUCUACUGGGAAAGGAUCCAUCUUCUUGCCCCGAAUAGCCACAUCUCAAGGGAACCUGCAGGCGUGAGCAGAAGAGGGUCAGAUUUCUCACAGAUCCUUGGUUGGGGUUUCUGGUGCAUGACCCCCCCCAUCCCCAGCCCCCAAAAUCACAUUGUUUGAAUUCACUUACCCAGAGCAAAAUCCAACCAAAAGUAAAAAGACACUCCGAGAUGCUUAUUUUAAAGAUCUUCCGCAAGGUGUUCUGGACAUCAAUGGCUCUUAAAACCCACAGCAGCACUUUCAUGAUUUAAGCGUAGAGGAAGCGGACAUAUGGAUCAAAUUUUCUUGGAAUUCCUCCUGGUUUUAAAAGCGAAAGGUAGACGAGUCAGCGACAUGGCAGAGUGCCUGGACCACUUAGAGAUGUGCCCUCGAGGCAAAGCACCCUGAACCCCAAGGCUGGAGGACGAACUUGUCCGGUUUAUGUAUCCGUCCGUGCAGAGAGCAGAUCUGGGGGGUCCUUAAGGAGGACUCUCUGGCGUGGAUCCUACGGCCAUUUUUUUUUUUUAAAUCUGAGAUUCCUCUCUGAGCACCAUCAGGACCCACAGCCACAGUUUCCGAGCUUUGUGAUUUUCCCCUAAAAUUGCUGGUUGGAGACUCAGGUGGUGGAGCUGUCACCCCAGUCUACUUCUACUAGGAUCUCUCAGUUGGAGCUGGAUGUGGGGACCUAGGCCUAUAACCCCAGCUACUUAGGAGGCUGAGGCAGGAGGAUCAUAAGUUUGGGACCAGCCUAGACAACUUAGUAGACUCUGUCUCAAAUCUGAGAGAUGAAAAGAGGCCUGGGAAUGUAGCCGACUGUGAAGCAAGCUCGAGAACACUGGCCUAGGAUGUUUAGGGCCCUCAGCUUUGUGCCCAGCACUACAUAUAAGAAAAAAAAAAACCCAACUUUAUCAAGACCCCUAACUCUGUAUGUCCAACAGGUUUCUUGGCUGCCAGGCUGGGAUGCUAUGGUCAGAGAGAUGAGCCCCUGAAGGAGACUGGUUCUGUGGACCCUGAAUCCCAAAUGCUUCCCCAUACGGAAUCACGCACGGAGCUGGGUGAAGUGAGGCAAAAGGAGAAGGCAGCUCAAGGCACCAUCGUCGGCGAGGAGGAGGAGCCAGCGGCUGCAGAGGAGGAGGAGCCAGCGCCUGCAGAUGGUGUGGGAGUAUGAACGCGAAGCCACCCCGGCUGUGGGCCUGUGCAGCAAGCUCUUAUUUAUGGUAACACGCAGUGCAGGAAAAUUUUAUAUAAGGCAUUAAAGUGCAGGCAAUUUAAGACACUCGAUCAGCCUUCCUCCCCAGCACCCCCUCCCACCCGUGCUCCCCUCCCUCCCCCAGCGUUUGAAUUUCAGCUGGGUACAGGCUGAUAAUGAUGAAAUUACAUUGCAAACAGGUGCGGCCUCUUCUGCUCUGGACCGAUGCCAGGGCAUGUGAAUCCUCAGUGGGGGGCGUGUGGUUUGCCUGGUUUAUGAGGCUGGGGAUGGAGGGUGAGGGAACUUCCCUCCCCGGAGUAUCUCCACCCAUCAAUCCCCUCUAUGCAGCCAAGCUAGGCCCUCUGCCUUCUUGGCUCUGGGUCCCCUGUGGGGUGUGGAUUCCACCAUCCUAGUAGGGAGGCAUUGUUUACCCAGGACAGUAGGACCCGGAAUGAACACACAGGCUGAAUCUCAUCAGCAAGGAUUCCGCAAACAACAGCCACACAAUCGGGCUAGACUGUGCUGCAUGUGGGCAGUGCUUAAGCUCUUAACUUACUGGAAGGAGUAAGUCAAACUCUCUCCAGUGAUAGUUAUUAAAGCUACCCCAAGCCCUGGCCCUUCAAUACCAGCCACCGCCAAAUAAUUGUUAUGGGAUUGAGGGUGAAUGGCUAAGAGGUUCUGGGCCUCAAUUUUAUCACCUGUGAAAUGGGGAUUAGGUAACUUUCUUCAUAAAAUUGUGAAAAUGAGCAGGAUGGGUUUAUUUAAGAAUCACCUGAGUGUGGGGUUGGGGAUUUAGCUCAGUGGUAGAGCGCUUGCCUAGCAAGCACAAGGCCCUGGGUUCAGUCCCCAGCUCCGAAAAAAAAAAAAAAAAAAGAAUCACCUGAGUGUUCUCUAUUCAAGGUAACUAAAUCCUAAAUGUGCUGGAAAGCCAGACACUGAGAUUAUCCAUGAGGCAAGUUUGUACACAAUACUGGUAAUGACCUAAACCCGAAGGAUGAAUACAUCUGGGUCUGUGGUAGCUUUUGUGCACUACCCGGCUGCUCACUCUGCCCAGACUUAGCAAUCCCAAGGUGUUCUAUUUCUCACCCAAAUUUCCCAGCAACCCUCUGAGGUAGGUCUUACUGCUACCCAUUUUACAGAUCAGUAACAGAGGCUCACACAGACACAAUCAUCACCUGCCCCUAGACACUUAAUGAGUGAGAGUCUGGGUUUGGUCUCUGAAGUUUGCAUUUAUCCGUUGCCUGGCUCAAUGCUCUGCACCCUCAGACCUACCUAACCCAGCCAAGGAGAAGCCUGGAAGGUCUGGGAAGAACUAAGUAGUCAUGGGCCUCUGACAGUAAUGUAACCUAGUUUUAAUUAAGGUUGUUACUGGAGAAACCUGAGACUCGGGGUUUCUCCUGGCCAAGGGUUUUCCUCAGGGUGGGUUUUCUGAUUUGUGGUUGGCUUUGUGGCACACUCUUGUCUACAUCCAAAGGACAAUCCUAGGACAGUCCAGAGCUGGACCCCCAAUGAUGAGAUUUGGGAAUGGGUGGAGACAGAGAACCAACAGAGGCCCAGGGACCUGGACAGCAGCCUGGUCCUUGGCUCCCUUCAUUAACGACAUUAGUUUGGGGCAUGCGUGCCUCUCCCAGGUGCAGGAGUUAUUGGUCCCUUGGAGCCAGGGCAUGACCCGGUUCUGAGGACCUGCCCUACUGUGUCUGGAGACUGACCAUCUGGGGUCCCGUUGAAGGAACUCUGGCCAAAGGAACAGAGAGCUGGGGAAGAGCCCAACUUCCUGGCCACCACUCCGUUUCCUUUGAUUUUUGCCUAGAUUUUCCCCCCCUUCUUUGGCUUUUUCAGGACUCCGCGCACCCUUGUUUGGAUGGUACACUGCCUCCUCAUCCGGGACAUUUCAAGUCAGCAACCACUUGGCAGGCAGGCCCAUUAUAAACGUGGUCCUGGGGCAGCCAGACUACAACCCCUCUUCCAUUUACUCUCCUUGGAUCUGGGGACGUGUGGCUUGUGGAUCGCCCCAUGAAGGGGGUUGGCUAUGAGACAGGCAGGAAGGACAGGAACACACAGUCCCCGGGUGGGGCCACUCCUCAUCACAAACAACACAGAGCCAACCUUCCGAUUCCUGCAGGCCGCGUGGCAUUAAUUAUCCGCUCCAGUGGUGCCUGUCUUCCACUUUUAGGAACACACGAGAUUCUUAAGAGAAACAGUUCAGUCGAAUACACAGUAAGUCUGAAAGCCAAGGAAAGCCCGGAGUCAGACCAGCCCCAUAAUCAGCAGUGAAGGUCACAGCAACGCCGCAGUCUGCGUGUAAGCUGUCUCCAGGGGCUCGUGAGUUCAAACGCCUGCUCCCACUCCACUAACUGGUGGUGAGCUUUUUGGCGAAGCUAGAAGGAAGAACCUCUCUGUAGGAAUCAAGUCACUGGGGGGGUGGGCCUUGAGGUUUUAAGGUCCAACCCAACUUCCUGAAGCCAUGUGAUCAGUGACCCAGGCUUCUGCCCUCAUACCACCCCUUCCCAUGAUGCAUUGCACCCCUCAUGUUUCUCAGGCUGUUUCUUCUCUGGGAUUUGGUCACCGCAAGGAACACAGUAACUAACGCAGACCAGAAGGAGCUUUCUUCCUGAAGCAGUAAGCUACUGUCGUUCAAGAGUUUUCUUUAAAUUUGGGGGCGGGGAAGGUAUUUAUUUGUGUGUAUUUGUGAUGUGUUGCGUGAGCGCGUGGGCGCGUGGGCGCGUGGGCGCGUGUUUACCUGUUGAGCCAUCUAACCAACCCAGGAAGGCUUUCUCGUUCAGUGAUUUCUUUUUGACUUACCGUGGUGUUUCCUUUAAAGAUUUGCCCAUUAAUAUUAUUCGAAGUAAAAAUAAAGAUAAUGAAAUUACAAUUUCCAAGCAUGUAUUUCCCCCAAUAAUAAUAAUAAUAAUAAUAAUUACUAUUUAAUAGUAAUUAUUAUUAUUACUAUUAUUAUUAUUAUUAAAUGGAAUCCACAGCAGCCUUGGGCAUAGUGAGCUCUCCAAGAGCCCCAACCUAGGUACCCCAUUCUUAUGUUGCAUGAGAUCAAUAUUAAUUCAAAUCUGGGGGCAUCCAACUAAUGAUCCACAAUAUCCUGUAACUUAUCCUAAGGUUCUAUACAUGAGGUGGGGGAGGGGAAGAGUUUGUCCAGGCUACUUACAGGAGCGUGGACAGCUAAUAGACAGCCCCACCACCGUUAGAACGAGAGUCCAAGAAUGGAAUCCAGUGAGGAUUCCGAGCACUUGUGAGAAAACUCUGAAAUAGAAGGAAACCAGAGUCUUGUGACUGCAGUGUCUUCAAAACACAUAACUUUUUCUAGAGUGUGUUUUCAUGCUCCUCCAAAGUGUAGAGGAUAAGAGUGAAUUCACUUCGACUGUUGUUAUCCAUAUGCCUCUAUGGAAAAACACAUUUUUGCUCAGAGUGGCUUAUCCUUGUAACUCUCAGCCCUCAGAGUACAAACUGCCCGAUGCUGUAAAUAAAGUUGGCUGUUGCAAGAGA
Non-coding RNA from Rattus norvegicus (Norway rat), 7865 nucleotides. The record is from RefSeq and is a predicted model, not a curated record. Lineage: Eukaryota; Metazoa; Chordata; Mammalia; Rodentia; Muridae.